Molecule: ribosomal RNA, 548 nt
Filed under: uncultured bacterium
Lineage: Bacteria
Description: bacterial SSU rRNA
Rfam family: Bacterial small subunit ribosomal RNA
Source: RNAcentral
AAUAGAUACCCAGGUAGUCCAUGCCGUAAACGUUGGGAACUAGAUGUGGGACCAUUCCACGGUUUCCGUGUCGCAGCUAACGCAUUAAGUUCCCCGCCUGGGGAGUACGGCCGCAAGGCUAAAACUCAAAGGAAUUGACGGGGGCCCGCACAAGCGGCGGAGCAUGCGGAUUAAUUCGAUGCAACGCGAAGAACCUUACCAAGGCUUGACAUAUACCGGAAAGGUCUGGAAACAGUCCCCCCGCAAGGUCGGUAUACAGGUGGUGCAUGGUUGUCGUCAGCUCGUGUCGUGAGAUGUUGGGUUAAGUCCCGCAACGAGCGCAACCCUCGUCUUAUGUUGCCAGCGGUUCGGCCGGGGACUCAUAAGAGACUGCCGGGGUCAACUCGGAGGAAGGUGGGGAUGAGGUCAAAUCAUCAUGCCCCUUAUGUCUUGGGCUUCACGCAUGCUACAAUGGCCGGUACAAAGGGCUGCAAUACCGCGAGGUGGAGCGAAUCCCAAAAGCCGGUCUCAGUUCGGAUUGAGGUCUGCAACUCGACCCAUGAAGUCGG